UAAUAUAUUAGAUGUUGAUUGUGGAAUCCUUCUGUAUUCUGAAUUGAGAGAGAGAGAGAGAGAGAGAGAGAGAGAGAGAGAGAGAGAGAGAGAGAGAUCUCUAUAUAUAUAUAUGAAUGCUGCGUUGUAAACCUGAGCAUAGAGCAAGCGAUCACUAAAAUAGUUUUACUUGUUGCAAGCACGCACCUUCACCCUAAACCCUAACCCACUUCGAGGUCCCUCACAAAAUGGUUCGUCUGCCGAUGUCGUUCCUAGACGACAAACGUAAGUUUGCUGAGAUUCCCUUAACCAGAGAGCAGUUAACGCAAAUGUUCCAGAAGCACGACAAAAACAAGGAUGGCAAACUUUCGUGGGAUGAGGUGAAGGCUGCUUUCCAAGAACUUAAAGCAUCUUACGUUUGGCUUAAAACUGAGCAAGGUUUUCGUCAUGCUGAUGAAGACGAAGAUCAGUUCAUCAAUUUGCAUGGUCGGGAGUUGGAACACCUCGUUGAAGACGCCCUAAAAUACAGGUUUACUAUUAAAUAGAUGUUGCUGUAAUUGCAACGGUGUCCUGUAAGCCUGUAAUUCCUAUAUAUAUAUAUAUAUAGUGUGUGUGUGUGUGUGAGAGACAACGUACGUUAGGCACAGCUUUUCGCGCGCGCGUGUGAUGAAUUGAAUAAGGAAGCAGGUGCCCGAUGUUGUCCCUUUAUAAGAGUAUAAACUUUAAUGAGCAAGACGCACAUAUAUAGUUUUGUUCA
Long non-coding RNA from Alnus glutinosa, 736 nucleotides. RefSeq lists it as uncharacterized. NCBI's taxonomy places the organism in Eukaryota, Viridiplantae, Streptophyta, Magnoliopsida, Fagales, Betulaceae. The transcript is spliced from 2 exons. The record is from RefSeq and is a predicted model, not a curated record.